RNAcentral lists this ribosomal RNA (121 nucleotides) under Paenibacillus larvae. The record is from RNAcentral. Lineage: Bacteria; Bacillati; Bacillota; Bacilli; Caryophanales; Paenibacillaceae.
UUUGGUGGCGAUGGCGGAAGGGAACCACACGUACCCAUCCCGAACACGGCCGUUAAGCCUUCCAGCGCCGAUGGGUGGUUUCCGGACCGAAGGGUCCCGGGAGAGUAGGACGCCGCCAAGC